GAAUAAAACAACAGCCAUGCUAUUGUGUGAAAAAUAACCCACAUUGGGGUGGUCCACAGCCCUCCUCUGUGUGCCUAAGUGGAUUAUCUUCAUAUAAUGGCACGACUUGAGGUGUGUUAUUCCACGUAUACCACAACGAUUUAUGGUUACAGUUUUUUAUUUAUUAAUGAAUUAUACAUUAUGUUCUUUUACAACACCACUUGUGUGAUGCAUGCUACCAUCCUGCAUUAACAGCAAAAUAAAACAAGGCAUCAAAUUAUGUUUAGCUCUGUCAACUCGUAAGAUAUGGUAAAUGCUCAGUGUUCAGUGUGUUAACUGAAUGUUGAUAAUUAAGCAAGGACAGUUUGUUGACAUCAGACUGAAUGCGGAUUUACUAUUGUUCCUUGAGUCACCUGAUUGUUUCUUCUGUUUUUCUGUAGUAAUGGCUCUCCAGUUCUAUUACUGGGCUUUGUCCAAAGCUGUAUACUCUGGUAUAAAUAACAAAUGUAGUUAUGAUUGCCUUGGAUAGUUUGCUGCCUUGGUUAAUUUAUUCUAAUACAUUUUCAUGUAACAUCACCUGUUUUUUUUCCAGUCUUCAACUGUCCAGUUUCAUUGAGCUUUUGCCCACUGUAGACUCCUAGGGGUAGGGUUAGAUUCCUGUUCUUGGCUGACUGGAGUGGAGCCCAAUGUGAUCUGCUUUUGUAACCUCAAAAUACUAUGUGUUGUUGUCAUUCUGCAAUGAUUUUCUGCUCACCACAUUUGUAAAGAGUGGUUAUUUUAGUUACCAUAGCGUUCCUGUUAGCUCAAAACAGUCUACCCGUUCUCUUCUGACGUCUCUCAUUUUUGUUUUAACAUCAUUCUGCAUAAAAAUCCCGGGAGAUCAGCAGUUUCUGAAAUACUCAAACCAGUUUGUCUGGCACUAACAACUAUUCUGUGGUCAACGUAGACGUGAGACAUUUUCUCUAUUCUGAUGUGUGAUGUGAACAUUAACUGAAGCUCCUGUAUCUGCAUGAUUCUAUGCAUUGCGCUGCUGUCAUGUGAUUGGUUGAUUGGAUUAACUGCAUGAAUGAGCAGGUUUAUACUACACAUCAUUUCUGUCAUUGUAGCAGUAUUCUAGAUGUAAUGUAUAUAUGUAUAUAUUUAUGUCACUGAGCACUUUUAUUUUACUCUGUUGUAAAUACUGUAAACACUCGCUACUUUAAGCCCCUUAAAAUGCCAUCAUAACCUUAAAUAUUAGUUCGACUGUAAAAAUAAAUAAAUAAAUAAAUAAAUAAUAAUAAUCUCAACACUGACGCGCUCCAUUCGUGUUGAUUAUUUAUAUGUAUGCCUAUUGUUGUAUGCAUGGAAAAGUAUGAAUUUCACUGCCGGUUGCACACUGUAGGGCCACUUUUUUGCCCACGACAAUAAAGACUUGAACGUGAAUAGUAGUUUGGGACGUGGUUUAACGUAGACAGUUUAACGUGGUUAACGUAGAGAGACAGUGCUUAUCAGAUCUCCGCUGUGGUUAGGUCAGGAAUAAACGGGAACUCCUGCACCGCCUGUCGGUGUUUGUAUAAAUGGCUUGCGUGCGCUUAGAAACGCGGAUAGUAGCGUGCGCGUCAUGGACAUCAGUGAGACGGCGGCAGCGCAGCAUUAAACAGACUAUUCAGUUUUUACACAAGGAUUCCGCCGACUUGCUGCCAUUAGAUGGCUUCAAGAAACUCGGAACGUCCAAAGAAGGGAGGAAGGGAUUGUGUAGGCUCUCCGAAUAAAACCAUUUUAAUUAGGCACACUGGAGGGAAACUAUAAGGUGUAGCUACAAAAGUUCAGUGACUCAAAGUCACUUACCGAACCGAACGUUAUGCAGUUAUAGUGCCGUUAAAGUGAUUGGAAGGUUUUAAAGGCAAGGUGUGUUAAUCCAGUCUGGCAACACAAAGAUGUCAUUGGUCAGUCCUGGAUAUACCCUUUUUGUAAUACACCCAUUGCGUCAUCUUAAACAGCGGCUAAAUUUGACAAUAAGCGGUGUUUUUGAAAGAAUUUGGGUUAUUUGAAUUAUUGGAUUGGGAAACUAUUGGAGGUAGUAAGGUGGGUUGUGACCCCUCAAACAAUUCUGCACGCAAUACGAGGACCAUUGGGUGGGUUGCUUGUCUGCCCAGGAGAUUUGGGGAUUGUGCCGUUCUAGCCAGGGUAGUCCGAGUAUGACGGGGUGUCUGGUGGAGACCGUGAGGUAAAGGACCAGAGUUUCGUGGUGGAGGGCGCUAACUUGAAGGCAGACUGGGUGUGUGCUGUGAGAUAUUAUGCCUCCCCCUAUAGGUAACCCGUCUAUGGAUUGGAGAUCACGAGGACGGAGUAGGGGACGUAUGGGGAGGCCGAGCUCCUGCACCGUCUUCUCAUCUAUGAAGUUCUCCGCUGCUCCGGAGUCGACGAGCGCUGAAAGAACAAAAGAACAGCCUGAAUGUUCUAUCACGACUGCAACCACACAACAUUCUCCAGAGAAGGCUGUUGGAGGCCACCUUAUCACGGAUCAGAUCGAACAACCGCAACAUGAAACCAGCACGCAGUUAUACGGUUCAAAGCCCCAGCAUACACAGUGAUAUUCAAGAGGCUGAGACUGACCUCAUUCAAGUCAUGUGUCAGCUUUAAGGAAAAGAUCAUCAGCAACAAAAAUGAGGAACAUUUAGGGCCACUCCAGCACAACCUCCAAACUAUAGGACACAUCAAGCUGAGUUUGGUCAUCGGGCAAACAGAAACGGAUCUUUUAUUUACUGUUGUGAGUAAGUGCAUGAUAACACUGUUUUUAAGUGUUGCUAAGAUUCAAGUGAUUAAGCUCAAUGAGUAAAUUAUGUGUAUUGUUCGUUGCAGAAAACAGUAAAAAGUUUAUAAUGUUAGGCACAAAGACACUCAAGUUUCUGAGGUAAACUCCACCCCCACCCC
Ictalurus punctatus (channel catfish) is the source of this 2892-nucleotide long non-coding RNA. RefSeq lists it as uncharacterized. The record is from RefSeq and is a predicted model, not a curated record. The transcript has 3 exons. NCBI's taxonomy places the organism in Eukaryota, Metazoa, Chordata, Actinopteri, Siluriformes, Ictaluridae.